UACGUAGGGGGCGAGCGUUGUCCGAAUUUACCGGGCGUAAAGCGCGUGUAGGCGGCUUUUUAAGUCAGGUGUGAAAUCCUGCGGCUCAACCGCAGAACUGCAUCUGAAACUGGAGAACUUGAGUUUGGGAGAGGAGAGUGGAAUUCCUGGUGUAGCGGUGAAAUGCGUAGAUAUCAGGAGGAACACCCGUGGCGAAGGCGGCUCUCUGGCCCAAUACUGACGCUGAGACGCGAAAGCUAGGGGAGCGAACGGG
Molecule: ribosomal RNA, 253 nt
Filed under: uncultured bacterium
Lineage: Bacteria
Description: partial 16S ribosomal RNA
Rfam family: Bacterial small subunit ribosomal RNA
Source: RNAcentral